This 59-nucleotide transfer RNA is filed under the name Serrognathus titanus. Its description in RNAcentral is "tRNA-Leu". Lineage: Eukaryota; Metazoa; Arthropoda; Insecta; Coleoptera; Lucanidae. The record is from RNAcentral.
UGUGGCAGAAUAGUGCGGUGGACUUAAACCCCAUAAAUAAAGAGCAACUUUCUUUAGAA